RNAcentral lists this long non-coding RNA (863 nucleotides) under Brassica napus (rape). RNAcentral's name for it is "long non-coding RNA (BNAP_LNC006991)". Lineage: Eukaryota; Viridiplantae; Streptophyta; Magnoliopsida; Brassicales; Brassicaceae. The record is from RNAcentral.
AACCUGUACCAAUAUCAAACUGAAACUCGACGUUUAGGCAAAGUAUUGAAGCCCUUUCCGGCUUUAGAAAGCCAGAUUUGUUUAAAAUUUUCUACGAGAAAUCUUCAAUCACCAAGGCAUUUCUUUCAGUUUCCGUUGUACCAAGUAAGUCACAGAAAAGCAUCAAAAACAUUUGCGACGAAGAAAACUCAAGAAUAGAUGUAGCAUCGUGCACAUUAAAAGGAACACUUUCCUCCCAAUGGUUAGCUAGAUCCACCUCUGGUUGACCAAUUUGAUCCAAAAACGAAUGUGUCAUGAGAAUCCUCUCAAAAAACUUAUGAAAAAUAUUAUGCGACUAGAUCGUAAUGAAAUAAACUUCGGUAACACUCCAUUAGUAACUCCAAGCAAUUUUCACCUAAGAUCAAAAUCACAGCAGAAACGUUUCUUGUAAAACCCGCAGAAACAACGCUACUUUGACAUAUGUAUACGUAUCACCGAUCUACAACCUUCGUAAAACUGGUCCCCAUUACUUAUGCGAAAAAUCCUUCGUACGAUCAGACCAACUCAUACGAAGAAACUUUCUAAAGUUAACAUAACAUGCCUUAUGAAGAAGUAUGUCUUGUAUAGCAAACCUCUUGGGCUUCGUCUUCCUCAGACAAAAAGACUUGAUUGUCAUAAGACUAUAGGUCACAUUAUACAAAAUAUUCGUCGUAUAACUGAAACCUAGAGCGGAAAAUCGUUUUCUACGACUAUCGGCCAUAUUAGCACGGAUAACUCCGACAAACUUGGCCUAUCAAUCUCGACAAGCGCUUUUUGGCCAUCAGUCAAUUACACCUUCCACUAAAGGACCAAACAAAUAUUUGCCACCAUCUUUAAAGGACGAU